UUAAGCGACUAAGCGUACACGGUGGAUGCCCUGGCAGUCAGAGGCGAUGAAGGACGUGCUAAUCUGCGAUAAGCGUCGGUGAGGUGAUAUGAACCGUUAUAACCGGCGAUUUCCGAAUGGGGAAACCCAGUGUGUUUCGACACACUAUCAUUAACUGAAUCCAUAGGUUAAUGAGGCGAACCGGGGGAACUGAAACAUCUAAGUACCCCGAGGAAAAGAAAUCAACCGAGAUUCCCCCAGUAGCGGCGAGCGAACGGGGAGGAGCCCAGAGCCUGAAUCAGUGUGUGUGUUAGUGGAAGCGUCUGGAAAGGCGCGCGAUACAGGGUGACAGCCCCGUACACAAAAAUGCACAUAUUGUGAGCUCGAUGAGUAGGGCGGGACACGUGGUAUCCUGUCUGAAUAUGGGGGGACCAUCCUCCAAGGCUAAAUACUCCUGACUGACCGAUAGUGAACCAGUACCGUGAGGGAAAGGCGAAAAGAACCCCGGCGAGGGGAGUGAAAAAGAACCUGAAACCGUGUACGUACAAGCAGUGGGAGCCUCUUAAUGGGGUGACUGCGUACCUUUUGUAUAAUGGGUCAGCGACUUAUAUUCUGUAGCAAGGUUAACCGAAUAGGGGAGCCGAAGGGAAACCGAGUCUUAACUGGGCGUUAAGUUGCAGGGUAUAGACCCGAAACCCGGUGAUCUAGCCAUGGGCAGGUUGAAGGUUGGGUAACACUAACUGGAGGACCGAACCGACUAAUGUUGAAAAAUUAGCGGAUGACUUGUGGCUGGGGGUGAAAGGCCAAUCAAACCGGGAGAUAGCUGGUUCUCCCCGAAAGCUAUUUAGGUAGCGCCUCGUGAAUUCAUCUCCGGGGGUAGAGCACUGUUUCGGCAAGGGGGUCAUCCCGACUUACCAACCCGAUGCAAACUGCGAAUACCGGAGAAUGUUAUCACGGGAGACACACGGCGGGUGCUAACGUCCGUCGUGAAGAGGGAAACAACCCAGACCGCCAGCUAAGGUCCCAAAGUCAUGGUUAAGUGGGAAACGAUGUGGGAAGGCCCAGACAGCCAGGAUGUUGGCUUAGAAGCAGCCAUCAUUUAAAGAAAGCGUAAUAGCUCACUGGUCGAGUCGGCCUGCGCGGAAGAUGUAACGGGGCUAAACCAUGCACCGAAGCUGCGGCAGCGACACUAUGUGUUGUUGGGUAGGGGAGCGUUCUGUAAGCCUGUGAAGGUGGCCUGUGAGGGUUGCUGGAGGUAUCAGAAGUGCGAAUGCUGACAUAAGUAACGAUAAAGCGGGUGAAAAGCCCGCUCGCCGGAAGACCAAGGGUUCCUGUCCAACGUUAAUCGGGGCAGGGUGAGUCGACCCCUAAGGCGAGGCCGAAAGGCGUAGUCGAUGGGAAACAGGUUAAUAUUCCUGUACUUGGUGUUACUGCGAAGGGGGGACGGAGAAGGCUAUGUUGGCCGGGCGACGGUUGUCCCGGUUUAAGCGUGUAGGCUGGUUUUCCAGGCAAAUCCGGAAAAUCAAGGCUGAGGCGUGAUGACGAGGCACUACGGUGCUGAAGCGACAAAUGCCCUGCUUCCAGGAAAAGCCUCUAAGCAUCAGGUAACAUCAAAUCGUACCCCAAACCGACACAGGUGGUCAGGUAGAGAAUACCAAGGCGCUUGAGAGAACUCGGGUGAAGGAACUAGGCAAAAUGGUGCCGUAACUUCGGGAGAAGGCACGCUGAUAUGUAGGUGAAGCGACUUGCUCGUGGAGCUGAAAUCAGUCGAAGAUACCAGCUGGCUGCAACUGUUUAUUAAAAACACAGCACUGUGCAAACACGAAAGUGGACGUAUACGGUGUGACGCCUGCCCGGUGCCGGAAGGUUAAUUGAUGGGGUUAGCGGUAACGCGAAGCUCUUGAUCGAAGCCCCGGUAAACGGCGGCCGUAACUAUAACGGUCCUAAGGUAGCGAAAUUCCUUGUCGGG
This 1948-nucleotide ribosomal RNA is filed under the name Staphylococcus aureus. RNAcentral describes it as "bacterial LSU rRNA". It matches the Rfam family "Bacterial large subunit ribosomal RNA", at positions 1 to 1976 of the family's 2925-position model. The record is from RNAcentral. Lineage: Bacteria; Bacillati; Bacillota; Bacilli; Caryophanales; Staphylococcaceae.